UGGAAUUCACUUCUACAAAGUUCUCUGGUCACCUUCUUGAUGCCAGCGGCCACAAAUCACAGUGCCAGUUUCCUGUGGAAUCAGAGGUAGACAGGACAGCACACGCCUGGGAGGCUCCCAGGAAUGGCAGCGGUGUGCAGGAACAGGAACACCAGUGUGUCCAUGGAAGGUAAGGUGCCUGGGGCAGCCGAGGGCCCAGAGAGACAGGCAAAGGGGUUCCCUGUCACACACAGCCUCUGGUACCAGUAACACCGCUGUGCUGCAGCAGUGCUCAGGGCUCCUGGUCCCUGUGUACAGCAGAGGGGCUGUGCUGGCUGCAGGGAACUUUGGCAGUUUCUCCCAGGGAUGAGAAAAACAUUUCAAAAAUAGGACAAACAGCGCUGGAGAGCUAUGCAGCGGAGUUACAAAAUGUGGCAGGGAAGCAGGACAUGACCAGCAGCUGACUCUGUCAGACUUGUCCUGCUGGUUUUGUGUCCUGCCAGUGGCACAGCCCCUGGCCCUCCAGGCCCCAGAACCCAGCCAACACAGCAGUGCUGAGGCACCAGGCUGGGACCAAAGGGACAUCUGCUGGAAACAGACAGUAUUACCAAAAGCUUCCCUAAACUUUUGUGGAAAAUGCUACGUAAGGAGAUAAAGCCACUCAGAUCAAAAGAGACUAGAGGGAGAAUUCAGAUGCACAUAAGUUUUGCUUCCCAGCAGCUACAAAUUCACUGAGGAAUUCUAAUUAAUGUAUGACUUUAACAUUCCAUUUUAGGGACUAACACAUGCUCAAAUAGCUUUAGGAGACUGAAAAAUUAAAGAGUUUUAAGAGAGAUUGGGAGGCUCAGCAGUUACAUGGGUGUUUUAAAUGGGACAGCUUUAUCCUGUGACUCCUUAGUGGCAGCCGUUAGAAUCAUUUGCCAUAGUUGUAUUUCCAAAUCUCUUGUUGGGAAAAGCAAUUACAAGAGAGAUAAGGGAUAAUAACUCUGUACCAAAGUUUGGAAGGGGUUCAUCGGGUGCUUGACAAGUGUAUUAAUUCUAAUGUUUAGUUGAAAGGAUUUAUACCACUUCAGAAUUGGUAUUACUUUAAAAGGCACUCUUUUAAUAAUGACUUAAUAUUGUCAUCUCUAUGGACGAGUGUGGGAGUCAGUCAUACUGAGGGACAAACCUAAUUCUGUCAAACAUGGGUAAGUUUAGGUUUUAACUCUCUGUGCACCCUCCUCUGAUGGUUAUGAGAGUAAGCUAUGGCUAUGAAGAAAUGUCUUAUUAUAAGAAGCCUUUGUGGGCUGCUUUGUUUCCAAACACCAACAAAACUCACACAGCAGUUCUGAGAUGCUCUAAGAAGACAAAUCUACAAUGAAACAUCACUUACACUAAAACUCCACUAACAGAACUGGAGAAUAUUAAUGGGCUGGUGCAGUUUCACAUGCUCUAAAUAGGAAAUAAGAUCAGAAUCGGCACUGCCACAGACCUGAAAGCAGAGGAAAGUACUUCUCAGUGCUAAUUGCUCCACUGCCUAUAUGUGGAGCUGUGGCUACAGGAUCUUUUCUCAUCUUAUUUUCUAUUCCUAGUGUAUAUUUUAAUUUAUUAAGUGCAAAUAAGCCAUGGGAUCAUCAACAACAACAACAACAAAUCCAAAA
Non-coding RNA from Taeniopygia guttata (zebra finch), 1619 nucleotides. Lineage: Eukaryota; Metazoa; Chordata; Aves; Passeriformes; Estrildidae. The record is from RefSeq and is a predicted model, not a curated record.